GGCAAUGGAUAUCUCGGCUCCCGCAUCUAUGAAGAACGCAGCGAAAUGCGAUACAUGGUGUGAAUUGCAGAUUCUCGUGAAUCAUUGAGUUUUUGAACGCAAGUUGCGCCCGAAGCCAUUUUUUGGUCGACGGCACGCCUGCCUGGGUGCCGUGCAUGGGGUUGUCCCAGGACCUCCUCCGACGGGAGACUCGUUUCUGCUGCUGGUUUCCGGGAGAGAAGGGACCACGGGGGUUGACGCUGGCCUUCCGUUCUAUGUUGUACGGUUGGUUUAAAUUCGGGGUCCCAGGCGACAUGAGUCGCGAUGAGUUGGGGAAGACAAUGUUUGUCCCUUGUCGGCCGGUGAGCCCCCCUGCGGUCCCAUGGCCUCGUUGACACCUUGACGGAGAAGCCAUCCAGGCCCC
This 403-nucleotide unclassified non-coding RNA is filed under the name Viscum cf. lophiocladum KM-2016. Its description in RNAcentral is "sequence contains ITS2". The stretch from base 2 to 152 matches the Rfam family "5.8S ribosomal RNA". The record is from RNAcentral. Lineage: Eukaryota; Viridiplantae; Streptophyta; Magnoliopsida; Santalales; Viscaceae.